Molecule: transfer RNA, 82 nt
Filed under: Calditrichota bacterium
Lineage: Bacteria; Pseudomonadati; Calditrichota
Description: Calditrichaeota bacterium (marine metagenome) tRNA-Tyr
Rfam family: tRNA
About the family: Transfer RNA (tRNA) molecules are approximately 80 nucleotides in length.
Source: RNAcentral
GGGGAGGUUCCCGAGCGGUCAAAGGGAACAGACUGUAAAUCUGUCGGUGAAACCUUCGGAGGUUCGAAUCCUCCCCUCCCCA